GAUGAACGCUGGCGGCGUGCCUAAUACAUGCAAGUCGAGCGAACAGACGAGGAGCUUGCUCCUCUGACAUUACCGGCGGACGGGUGAGUAACACGUGGAUAACCUACCUAUAAGACUGGGAUAACGUCGGGAAACCGGAGCUAAUACCGGAUAAUAUAUUGAACCGCAUGGUUCAAUAGUGAAAGACGGUUUUGCUGUCACUAAUAGAUGGAUCCACGCCGGAUUAGCUAGUUGGUAAGGUAACGGCUUACCAAGGCAACGAUGCGUAGCCGACCUGAGAGGGUGAUCGGCCACACUGGAACUGAGACACGGUCCAGACUCCUACGGGAGGCAGCAGUAGGGAAUCUUCCGCAAUGGGCGAAAGCUUGACGCAGCAACGCCGCGUGAGUGAUGAAGGUCUUCGGAUCGUAAAACUCUGUUAUUAGGGAAGAACAACUGUGUAAGUAACUAUGCCCGUCUUGACGGUACCUACUCAGAAAGCCCCGGCUAACUACGUG
This 497-nucleotide ribosomal RNA is filed under the name uncultured bacterium. RNAcentral describes it as "partial 16S ribosomal RNA". It matches the Rfam family "Bacterial small subunit ribosomal RNA", at positions 28 to 507 of the family's 1533-position model. The record is from RNAcentral.